This 356-nucleotide ribosomal RNA is filed under the name uncultured eukaryote. RNAcentral's name for it is "partial 18S ribosomal RNA". It matches the Rfam family "Eukaryotic small subunit ribosomal RNA", at positions 592 to 976 of the family's 1831-position model. The record is from RNAcentral.
CAAUAGCGUAUAUUAAAGUUGUUGCAGUUAAAAAGCUCGUAGUUGAGUUUCUGGUUUGGUGAGGCCUGCGGCGAUUGAAUGAUCGCAUUGUUAGUGUCCGCCUAGCCAUCUUGAGAUCCGUAAGGGUUUCUCGUUUACUGUAAAAAAAUUAGAGUGUUUCAAGCAAGACGUAAAUUUGGAAUAUAUUAGUAUGGAAUAAUAAGAUAGGACUUUUGUGUUAUUUUGUUGGUUUGCCACAAGAGUAAUGAUUAAAAGGGACAGUUGGGGGUAUUCGUAUUUAGUUGUCAGAGGUGAAAUUCUUGGAUUUACGAAAGACGAACUACUGCGAAAGCAUUUACCAAGGAUGUUUUCAUUAA